Molecule: unclassified non-coding RNA, 308 nt
Filed under: Hevea brasiliensis (rubber tree)
Lineage: Eukaryota; Viridiplantae; Streptophyta; Magnoliopsida; Malpighiales; Euphorbiaceae
Source: RNAcentral
AACAGCUUUAAUGGUCACAUAAGUGCUGUAAAUUUUUUUUUAAUCUAAUGGAUAUUCUCCUGACUAUUUGAAGAUACUGAUUUCGUGAAGCUUGUUAUUGUAUCUCAUAAAUUUUUAUCUUCAUCUUCAUAUCAUUCAUCAUUUUGCUCUUGAGGUCCGUUACCCUGUUGUAUAGCAUUAAUAUGGCCAUAUUGAAAACAUUCAAAGGGAGACUUACAUGUGCUGAGAAAAUCUAAAGUAUUUGUAGUGGCCGCUGUUUAAAUUUCUGUUGGAAACUCUGGUAACUGUCAAUUUUUUACCUUGCAAAC